GGGGGAGCAAGCGUUGUUCGGAUUUACUGGGCGUAAAGGGCGCGUAGGCGGCCACCGCAAGUCAGUUGUGAAAUCUCUGGGCUUAACCCAGAAAGGUCAACUGAUACUGCGGGGCUAGAGUGCAGAAGGGGCAACUGGAAUUCUCGGUGUAGCGGUGAAAUGCGUAGAUAUCGAGAGGAACACCUGCGGCGAAGGCGGGUUGCUGGGCUGACACUGACGCUGAGGCGCGAAAGCUAGGGGAGCGAACGGGAUUAGAUACCCCGGUAGUCCUAGCCUUAAACGAUGAAUGCUUGGUGUCUGGGGUUUUAUAGUCCCCGGGUGCCGUCGCUAACGCUUUAAGCAUUCCGCCUGGGGAGUACGGUCGCAAGACUG
Molecule: ribosomal RNA, 372 nt
Filed under: uncultured organism
Description: bacterial SSU rRNA
Rfam family: Bacterial small subunit ribosomal RNA
Source: RNAcentral